RNAcentral lists this ribosomal RNA (458 nucleotides) under uncultured bacterium. Its description in RNAcentral is "partial 16S ribosomal RNA". It matches the Rfam family "Bacterial small subunit ribosomal RNA", at positions 338 to 795 of the family's 1533-position model. The record is from RNAcentral.
CCUACGGGUGGCAGCAGUGGGGAAUAUUGCACAAUGGGGGAAACCCUGAUGCAGCGACGCCGCAUGAGUGAAGAAGUAAUUCGUUACGUAAAGCUCUAUCAGCAGGGAAGAAACACUGACCUUACGGUCAGCAAACGGUACCUGAGUAAGAAGCCCCGGCUAACUACGUGCCAGCAGCCGCGGUAAUACGUAGGGGGCAAGCGUUAUCCGGAUUUACUGGGUGUAAAGGGAGAGUAGGUGGCAGAGCAAGUCCGAAGUGAAAACCCAAAGCUCAACUAUGGGAAUGCUUUAGAAACUGCUCAGCUAGAGUGCAGGAGAGGCAAGUGGAAUUCUUAGUGUAGCGGUGAAAUGCGUAGAUAUUAGGAGGAACACCAGUGGCGAAGGCGGCUUGCUGGACUGUAACUGACACUGAGGCUCGAAAGCGUGGGGAGCAAACAGGAUUAGAUACCCGGGUAGUC